CUAAUUAUAAAGACAAAUUCUGUACUUUUCAUCCACAAAAUUCCCAAAUUCCAAAAUUUUCGAUCUCUCAUUCUCCAUUCUCAUCUGAAGCAAUUGAUCUGAAAUCUUCUUCAUUUUUGACUUUGUAAUUUUCAUCUCCGUCUUUCGUCCGUCAUGGAUUGCUAACCCUUUUGUCACCGCCUCAAGAUGGUGGUCCUUUCUCCUAUGUAGCCUCCUCUGGUUAGAACAUGGGGCACUAUCUGCUGCAUUGACAGGGUACAGAACAAGGUUCCCAUUAUUUUGCAUUUUGAGGAAAAUCGCGAAUGAAUCACAUACUUCCGAGGCACUCAGGAACACCUCUUUUCUAGCUGAUAUAUGCUGACCAGGUGAAUCCGGUGUAGCUAAGCACUCUUUUGUGAAAAUUCAGGUCCUUCAAAGACAAGAAAAGUUCGUGGACCUACUUUAUUAAAAGAUGUAUGGAAUAUACCACUUGGAAAGACAAUUAUUGUGUGAUUUAAUAGUCGUAAUUAGUCAAUUGGAAAAGAGGGACGAAAGCUGGCUAGUUUUCUAGGGAUAGCUGCUAGAACUCCAGAUUUGACACCGUUAAAUGCAAAUGAUUGGCGAUAGUUGAUGACGAAGAAAAGACAAAGUUUGUGGAAUUUUUAAUGAAAAAGCUCUCCAUUCUGAAAUGCGGAGAAGAGUUCGUGAAGAAGUCAAUAGGAAAAAAAUGAAGGGACUAUAAAUGUCACUUGAAGGCGAUUUAUGUGACAAAGUAUAAGACCAAAUAUGCAUUGAUGAAAAAUAAACCAGCUCAUAUACCAAGGGAUUAAUGAGGAAUGGUCUCGUUUCGUAUUGGUUUUCUGAAAAAGAAAAGGAACAGAUAUUUUAUUUCUCAUCCUAGAAGUGUAAUCAAACAAAUAGAAUCAGUAGAGCUAACAAAAAAUGGCUCACACGGGUGGAUCCAAAAGCAUGGCAACCUUGAUGAAUGAACAAGCUAUAGAUGGAACAGAGCCCACACGUGCAAAAAUCUACAUAUUAACACAUACAAUGUGUAGAGAUGGUAGACUAUUGGAUGAGGAGUCCUCAAAUGCCUUUCACAACAAGCUUCUCUUCGGAUAUCAAUAUAAGUUGGCUCUACUAAAGAUCAUCUUGAUAUUACAUAUUAUCGUGAUCCAACUUGGUAUACCUUCAGUGCCUCAAUUUUCUUGUUUUUUUUACUGCUGAACACAUUUUUUAAAAUUUGUUUUGACAAGAACAAAAUCUUAUAGAUGUUCAUAUUUUUUUUACCACGAGAAGACAAGAAAGUGGAUGUAUUAAGUUUUAUUGUUCUUUCUUUUAAAUGAAUGACGUGGUUUGAUUUU
Long non-coding RNA from Solanum pennellii, 1340 nucleotides. RefSeq lists it as uncharacterized. NCBI's taxonomy places the organism in Eukaryota, Viridiplantae, Streptophyta, Magnoliopsida, Solanales, Solanaceae. The transcript has 8 exons. The record is from RefSeq and is a predicted model, not a curated record.